Molecule: non-coding RNA, 179 nt
Filed under: Halanaerobium hydrogeniformans
Lineage: Bacteria; Bacillati; Bacillota; Clostridia; Halanaerobiales; Halanaerobiaceae
Source: RNAcentral
AAUAAUGUUCUCUUUUUAGGUGCUUCAUUCAGAAGAUAAUAGGGAAUCAGGUGAAAUUCCUGAACGGGUCCGCCACUGUUAACUAGUAUGGUGAUUUAAUACCACUCAGAAAUGGGUUUGGGGAAGGUAAAUCACUAAAGCUAUAAAGUCAGGAGACCUGCCUAAAGGGAAAACAGCCA